Molecule: ribosomal RNA, 425 nt
Filed under: uncultured bacterium
Lineage: Bacteria
Description: bacterial SSU rRNA
Rfam family: Bacterial small subunit ribosomal RNA
Source: RNAcentral
GUGGGGAAUAUUGGGCAAUGGGCGAAAGCCUGACCCAGCAACGCCGCGUGAAGGAAGAAGGUUUUCGGAUCGUAAACUUCUAUCCUUGGUGAAGAUAAUGACGGUAGCCAAGAAGGAAGCCCCGGCUAACUACGUGCCAGCAGCCGCGGUAAUACGUAGGGGGCAAGCGUUGUCCGGAAUGAUUGGGCGUAAAGGGCGCGUAGGCGGCCCGGUAAGUCUGAAGUGAAAGUCCUGCUUUUAAGGUGGGAAUUGCUUUGGAUACUGUCGGGCUUGAGUGCAGGAGAGGUAAGCGGAAUUCCCGGUGUAGCGGUGAAAUGCGUAGAGAUCGGGAGGAACACCAGUGGCGAAGGCGGCUUACUGGACUGUAACUGACGCUGAGGCGCGAAAGUGUGGGGAGCAAACAGGAUUAGAAACCCGUGUAGUCC